CCAGUUACAUGUGACUUUUAAACAAACAAUGAAUACUUUGUAAAAUAUGUCCCAUGCAAUUUGUGGGACAUACUUAUCCUAAAGAGUUAUUUCUCAUUUAUCUGAAAUCCAUAUGUAACUGGGCAUCCUGUA
RNAcentral lists this microRNA precursor (132 nucleotides) under Ovis aries (sheep). RNAcentral describes it as "miRNA (ENSOARG00000024868.1)". Lineage: Eukaryota; Metazoa; Chordata; Mammalia; Artiodactyla; Bovidae. The record is from RNAcentral.